This 1493-nucleotide ribosomal RNA is filed under the name Salinivibrio sp. SS3. RNAcentral's name for it is "bacterial LSU rRNA". It matches the Rfam family "Bacterial large subunit ribosomal RNA", at positions 1 to 1442 of the family's 2925-position model. The record is from RNAcentral. Lineage: Bacteria; Pseudomonadati; Pseudomonadota; Gammaproteobacteria; Vibrionales; Vibrionaceae.
GUUGUAUGGUUAAGUGAUUAAGCGUAGACGGUGGAUGCCUUGGCAGUCAGAGGCGAUGAAGGACGUACUAACCUGCGAAAAGCGAUGGUGAGCUGGUAAGAAGCAUUUGAGCCAUCGAUGUCCGAAUGGGGAAACCCACCUGCAUAAGCAGGUAUCUUAGCGUGAAUACAUAGCGCUAAGAGGCGAACUCGGGGAACUGAAACAUCUAAGUACCCGAAGGAAAAGAAAUCAAUUGAGAUUCCGGCAGUAGCGGCGAGCGACCCCGGAGCAGCCCUUAAGCGGCUUAGGCGUUAGGUGAACAGGUUGGAAAACCUGGCAAUAAAGGGUGAUAGCCCCGUAACCGACGGCGCCUUAGGCGUGAAAACGAGUAAGACGGGACACGUGAUAUCUUGUCUGAACAUGGGGGGACCAUCCUCCAAGGCUAAAUACUCCUGACUGACCGAUAGUGAACCAGUACCGUGAGGGAAAGGCGAAAAGAACCCCUGUGAGGGGAGUGAAAUAGAACCUGAAACCGUCUACGUACAAGCAGUGGGAGCCCCAUCACUAAGACACUUCAUCUUAGUGAGACGCUAUCACUUUGUUGAUUGGGUUAACCACGCGCAGCGUGGGUCAACCGCCCAAUCCAGCAGAGGUGACUUAGUGAUGGGGUGACCGCGUACCUUUUGUAUAAUGGGUCAGCGACUUAAUGUAAGUAGCUAGGUUAACCGCAUAGGGGAGCCGUAGGGAAACCGAGUCUUAACUGGGCGACAGUUGCUUGCAUUAGACCCGAAACCGAGUGAUCUAGCCAUGGGCAGGUUGAAGGUUGAGUAACAUCAACUGGAGGACCGAACUCACUAACGUUGAAAAGUUAGGAGAUGACCUGUGGCUAGGGGUGAAAGGCCAAUCAAACUCGGAGAUAGCUGGUUCUCCCCGAAAGCUAUUUAGGUAGCGCCUCGGACGAACACUACUGGGGGUAGAGCACUGUUAAGGCUAGGGGGUCAUCCCGACUUACCAACCCUUUGCAAACUCCGAAUACCAGUAAGUGCUAUCCGGGAGACACACGGCGGGUGCUAACGUCCGUCGUGGAGAGGGAAACAACCCAGACCGCCAGCUAAGGUCCCCAAGUUAUCGCUAAGUGGGAAACGAUGUGGGAAGGCUCAGACAGCCAGGAUGUUGGCUUAGAAGCAGCCAUCAUUUAAAGAAAGCGUAAUAGCUCACUGGUCGAGUCGGCCUGCGCGGAAGAUGUAACGGGGCUAAGCGAUACACCGAAGCUGCGGCAAUGUCCUUAUGGAUAUUGGGUAGGGGAGCGUUGUGUAAGCUGUUGAAGGUGUGCUGAGAGGCAUGCUGGAGGUAUCACAAGUGCGAAUGCUGACAUGAGUAACGAUAAAGGGGGUGAAAAACCUCCUCGCCGGAAGACCAAGGGUUCCUGUCCAACGUUAAUCGGGGCAGGGUAAGUCGGCCCCUAAGGCGAGGCCGAAAGGCGUAGUCGAUGGGAAACGGGUUAAUAUUCCCGU